Astatotilapia calliptera (eastern happy) is the source of this 3317-nucleotide long non-coding RNA. The record is from Ensembl. NCBI's taxonomy places the organism in Eukaryota, Metazoa, Chordata, Actinopteri, Cichliformes, Cichlidae.
GUUGGCCAACAGCACCAAAGGCAGUUAUCAUUAACCUGGGCCCCCCACAGUGUGGAAAUCUUACUCUUAAUGAUUGACAUGUUUGAUUUGGCAGAGACUUUACACCAGAGGGAAUAAAAAAUGCACUGGCUUGUACCUGUAAAUGCACUGUGCUGUUGUAACAGUGUUUAUGUGGUAUUAUUCCACUUGCCACAAAUGUCAGUGUAAUGGGGAAACAGCGCCCCCCCCUCUCGGUGUGGCUGGUUAGGUGAGGCUGGCUGCAGUAAUCGCUGCCAGUCUGCCGUAGCCAUACGAGAGUGUGCUGUGCGGAGUGGUGUAUGGCGAGCCUGUGCACUGAUAAUACACCGUUGUUUCCAUUCAGGUGACUGAGCAAUGGAGAAGCUGGAUGAUGUAACAGUAUCUGUCCUUAAAGGUUAUAUUUGAUAAUAUAUUUGUGUGUGUGUGUGUGUGUGUAUAUGUGUGUAUAUAUAUAUAUAUAUAUAAAAAACACCCAGCACGCCCCUGCGGGCGGUUUAUCCUUCAAGCUCGGGUCCUCUACCAGAGGCCUGGGAGCUUGAGGGUCCUGCGCAGUAUCUUAGCUGUUCCCAGGACUGCGCUCUUCUGGACAGAGAUCUCCGAUGUUGUUCCCGGGAUCUGCUGGAGCCACUCGCCUAGCUUGGGAGUCACCGCACCUAGUGCUCCGAUUACCACGGGGACCACCGUUACCUUCACCCUCCACAUCCUCUCGAGCUCUUCUCUGAGCCCUUGGUAUUUCUCCAGCUUCUCGUGUUCCUUCUUCCUGAUAUUGCUGUCAUUCGGAACCGCUACAUCGAUCACUACGGCCGUCUUCUUCUGUUUGUCUACCACCACUAUGUCCGGUUGGUUAGCCACCACCAUUUUGUCCGUCUGUAUCUGGAAGUCCCACAGGAUCUUAGCUCGGUCAUUCUCCACCACCCUUGGGGGCAUCUCCCAUUUUGACCUCGGGACUUCCAGGUUAUACUCGGCACAGAUGUUCCUGUACACUAUGCCGGCCACUUGGUUAUGGCUUUCCAUGUAUGCCUUGCCUGCUAGCAUCUUGCACCCUGCUGUUAUGUGCUGGAUUGUCUCUGGGGCAUCUUUACACAGCCUGCACCUGGGGCCUUGCCUGGUGUGAUAGACCCCAGCCUCUAUGGAUCUUGUACUCAGAGCUUGUUCUUGUGCUGCCAUGAUUAGUGCCUCUGUGCUGUCUUUCAGUCCAGCUUUGUCCAGCCACUGGUAGGAUUUCUGGAUAUCAGCCACCUCCUCUAUCUGCCGGUGGUACAUACCGUGCAGGGUCCUGUCCUUCUAUGAUGGUUCCUCGUCUCCCUCCUCUUUCUUGGGUUUCUGCUGCCUGAGGUAUUCACUGAGCACUUGGUCAGUUGGGGCCAUCUUCCCAAUGUAUUCUUGGAUGAAUAGGAUGAGGGACCUAUGGAUUCUUCGCUGCAAGCAUUGACGAGCGCAUGCUUUUAACAUUGACCCGUGAUGAUCUGAGGGACCUUUUUUCUGGGCCUGAGCACUUUCUCAGAAGAAAACAUGUGUGGUCAAUAAUUCAUCCUGAGGAAGACCAUCCGCUACCACAGAAACCUGAAACAACUUCUUCACCCAGGGUAGUUGCAACAGGCCCUCCAACUGCUGAUGCUAAUGUAAGCCAGCUGAAAACCUUGCAGCUCCCCAGUCCUCCGGAAUAUGUUCUGUACACCGACAGUGAGUUGGAGCAAUGCCGAAAGAGUUACCUGGAGUUGGCCUGCUCCGGCAGGGAACAGGCAUGCGUCAUGUCAAAAGAACUGAGAUGCAGAUUGGUGAGAAAUACAAUCACAAGUAUGGUGUCCCUUUUGAGAGCAAGCCAAGGCCAAAUGGAGCGAUACCCCUCUAAGACCGAAAUCACUGCAAUGGCUAAAAAAGUUGUGGAAUAUUAUCCUAUGCUGCAGGAUAAUGAUGCAAGCGUAAAACACGAGAGCAUUAAUGCCAAGUUACAAAAAAGGCUGCAAAAUAUGAAAACCCCAGUAAAAAGGCAAGGACCAACACCGGAGAGGGGACGGCCCAAGAGAAGGCUCACUGACCUCUACCCAAGGGAUGAAGAAGCUGAUGAUGAAGAUGCUGAUCGCAGUUCUUCCAGUGGUGCAUCUACUCUGUUAUCACCUGUCAGAAAUUCUGACAAUGCCUCCACUUCAUCUGACAAGGAUAGUCGGCAAAUACAAGCAAGACAUUACAAAACAUUACAAGAAAUGUGUAAGAAGGCAAAACCAAACCAAGAAGAUGUGUCCCAGCUAUUAGACCUCGAGUUUGAAGCCAGAAGAUCCUUCAUUGACUCAGACACCAUGAAAGAGGAGAACAGAGCUUGCCUCAUCUUGGAUGCAUAUCCAUGCUUUAAAGAAUUGCAUCAUGCGUUGGGUGAGCUUCGCAGAAUUUUGGAUCCCCACAACAACAAGUUCAUCAGUCAAGUAAAACUGAGAUGGGAAGAAUUCUGCUCCAGGGUAGAGUUCUACGGUGUGUCAAAGAAGGCAAUGAAUCCACCAAUGACCAUGGACAAAACUGAAGCCCACCUUGCACUGAUGAAGGCUCUUCCAACCCUCUUUCCCACACCUGCCCAUCCACCAAAGAAGAUGGGGAAUGCUUCUGAAGCAUUUCUACAUGUCCUGAAGCCUACAGAAGAUCCAGAUGCUGUCCUCCAGAAACGAAGCUUGUCAUGUCCAGUAGUGAUGUUCGAUGGCUGCAAGUGUGUCAUUGCUGUUGGUAAUUUACCAGUUACAACAUUUGACAAAGAAAAAAUUGGUGAGGCUAUGAUAUAUGUGAUGGCAUACUUUUAUGCACUCCAUCUGACUUACCACAAAUGCGUGGCAACCCUGCUGUCUGUCAUUCAGACAGAAGUUCUCCAGGAUGCCAUUCAUGAGCAUGACACUACAUCAUCUUACAGAAAAGCCCUGGCAGAAUGGCAUGCAUUUAUUGGAAAGUAGUGUGUAAAUUUCAGAUAAGAUUAGGAGAGGGCACUUCUGUUUUGUUUUUGUUUGUUUUUUCAAUCUGGGUCUUAUUUCUAAAAUGGAAAAUGUUCAUUUACUCACCCAGACAAGUUUUGUGGUAUUUGGUGUCAUUCGGAAGAAAUUUGAAUCUUUGUGGUCUUCCUAUGUCACUCGUCAAUUUUAAUGGGGCAAUGGCGAAACCUCUAAGGCUGUUGAAAUGUUGAAACCACUUAAACAAACUCAUAAUGUUGGACCUGUACUGUUCAAUUGUAUCUUUAUUAUCUGCAGGUUAUUGUUAAAGUGGACAAAUAAAGAUGGACACUUUUACUCUGUUUCAGUUUUGUUUUGUCCUUAAUCAGCAAU